GACGAACGCUGGCGGCGUGCUUAACACAUGCAAGUCGAACGGAAAGGCCCUGCUUUUGUGGGGUGCUCGAGUGGCGAACGGGUGAGUAACACGUGAGUAACCUGCCCUUGACUUUGGGAUAACUUCAGGAAACUGGGGCUAAUACCGGAUAGGAGCUCCUGCUGCAUGGUGGGGGUUGGAAAGUUUCGGCGGUUGGGGAUGGACUCGCGGCUUAUCAGCUUGUUGGUGGGGUAGUUGCUUACCAAGGCUUUGACGGGUAGCCGGCCUGAGAGGUUGACCGGCCUCAUGGGGACUAUGAGACGGACCAGGCUCGUACGGGAGGCAAGAGUGGGGAAGAUUGCACAAUGGGCGGAAGCCUGAGGCAGCAACGCCGCGUGCGGGAUGACGGCCUUCGGGUUGUAAACCGCUUUCGCCUGUGACGAAGCGUGAGUGACGGUAAUGGGAAAAGAAGCACCGGCUAACUACGUG
This 468-nucleotide ribosomal RNA is filed under the name uncultured bacterium. Its description in RNAcentral is "partial 16S ribosomal RNA". It matches the Rfam family "Bacterial small subunit ribosomal RNA", at positions 28 to 507 of the family's 1533-position model. The record is from RNAcentral.